This 301-nucleotide ribosomal RNA is filed under the name uncultured bacterium. RNAcentral's name for it is "partial 16S ribosomal RNA". It matches the Rfam family "Bacterial small subunit ribosomal RNA", at positions 509 to 807 of the family's 1533-position model. The record is from RNAcentral.
CAGCCGCCGCGGGAAUACGUAGGGUGCAAGCGUUAAUCGGAAUUACUGGGCGUAAAGCGUGCGCAGGCGGUUCGCUAAGACAGAUGUGAAAUCCCCGGGCUUAACCUGGGAACUGCAUUUGUGACUGGCGGGCUAGAGUAUGGCAGAGGGUGGUAGAAUUCCACGUGUAGCAGUGGAAUGCGUAGAGAUGUGGAGGAAUACCGAUGGCGAAGGCAGCCCCCUGGGCCAAUACUGACGCUCAUGCACGAAAGCGUGGGGAGCAAACAGGAUUAGAUACCCCUGUAGUCCCUGUCUCUUAUAC